GAGCACGUAGGUGGGUUUGUCGCGUCGUCCGUGAAAUUCCGGGGCUUAACUCCGGGCGUGCAGGCGAUACGGGCAUAACUUGAGUACUGUAGGGGUAACUGGAAUUCCUGGUGUAGCGGUGAAAUGCGCAGAUAUCAGGAGGAACACCGAUGGCGAAGGCAGGUUACUGGGCAGUUACUGACGCUGAGGAGCGAAAGCAUGGGUAGCGAACAGGAUUAGAUACCCUGGUAGUCCAUGCCGUAAACGGUGGGCACUAAGUAGAGGGG
RNAcentral lists this ribosomal RNA (266 nucleotides) under uncultured bacterium. RNAcentral's name for it is "partial 16S ribosomal RNA". It matches the Rfam family "Bacterial small subunit ribosomal RNA", at positions 565 to 828 of the family's 1533-position model. The record is from RNAcentral.